AAAAAUUUAGUUAAAACAUAACGUCAACUUGUCAAGUUGAAAUUAAUAAUUAAUUAUUAAUUUUUA
This 66-nucleotide transfer RNA is filed under the name Ulomoides dermestoides. RNAcentral describes it as "tRNA-Asp". Lineage: Eukaryota; Metazoa; Arthropoda; Insecta; Coleoptera; Tenebrionidae. The record is from RNAcentral.